Molecule: non-coding RNA, 155 nt
Submitted as: unclassified sequences
Source: Rfam
CAUUACUUCGGAAAGAACUAGAACUCGAGACCCCGGAUCUGGAAGAAAAUGGACAGAAGAAGAAGGGUGAAAGGCACAACGAAAGUUGACCAUCUGUGAGCUAGAAAGGGUAUUAGCCACACAGUGAGAAACCCACACUGACCCCUUCAACUUCG